ACUUAGUCCUAACCUUAUCGUUAACCUUUACUCAACAUAUACAUGCAAGUAUCCGCACCCCAGUGCAAAUGCCCCAACCCCUUACCAAGGUACAAGGAGCAAGCAUCAGGCACACCUACCUACUGUAGCCUAAAACGCCACGCCCCGCCACACCCCCACGGGUACUCAGCAGUAAUUAACAUUAAGCAAUAGGCGAAAGCCUGACUUAGUUAGAGUAACUAGGGUUGGUAAAUCUUGUGCCAGCCACCGCGGUCAUACAAGAGACCCAAGUUAACCACACACGGCGUAAAGAGUGGGCCCAAACUAUCACACCAAACUAGGAUCAAACCUUUCCCAAGCUGUCAUAAGCUCAAGGCACCUCCAAGCCCAACCUGAAAACGAUCUUAACACUCAUGACCCAUUCCCCCCACUAAAGCCAGGACACAAACUGGGAUUAGAUACCCCACUAUGCCUAGCCCUAAAUCUUGAUGUCCUCCAAACACAGACAUCCGCCCGAGAACUACGAGCACAAACGCUUAAAACUCUAAGGACUUGGCGGUACUCUACACCCACCUAGAGGAGCCUGUUCUAUAAUCGAUAACCCACGAUCCACCCGACCACUUCUUGCCAAAACAGCCUAUAUACCGCCGUCGCCAGCCCACCUCAUGAGAGCACAACAGUGAGCCCAACAGCCUACAAUUCGCUAACAAGACAGGUCGAGGUAUAGCCUAUGAAGUGGAAGAAAUGGGCUACAUUUUCUAAAAUAGACAACCCUAACGAAAGGGGACUUGAAACCUGUCCCUAGAAGGCGGAUUUAGCAGUAAAGCAGGAUAACCAAGCCUUCUUUAAGUUGGUCCUAGAGUACGUA
Molecule: non-coding RNA, 847 nt
Filed under: Rhynchopsitta pachyrhyncha (thick-billed parrot)
Lineage: Eukaryota; Metazoa; Chordata; Aves; Psittaciformes; Psittacidae
Description: partial 12S ribosomal RNA
Rfam family: Bacterial small subunit ribosomal RNA
Source: RNAcentral